This 310-nucleotide ribosomal RNA is filed under the name uncultured bacterium. RNAcentral describes it as "bacterial SSU rRNA". It matches the Rfam family "Bacterial small subunit ribosomal RNA", at positions 28 to 346 of the family's 1533-position model. The record is from RNAcentral.
GAUGAACGCUAGCGGGAGGCCUAAUACAUGCAAGUCGAGCGGUAGAGUGACUUCGGUUGCUUGAGAGCGGCGCACGGGUGAGUAACGCGUACAUGACCUACCUUUAAGACUGGGAUAGCCCUGGGAAACUGGGAUUAAUACCGGAUGUGAUAAUACGUAUAGAGAUGUAUUAUUAAAGUUGAGGCGCUUAGAGAUGGAUGUGCGUCUGAUUAGCUAGUGUAGGUAACGGCCUACAAGGCGACGAUCAGUAGGGGCGUGAGAGCGUGGCCCCCCANACGGGUACUGAGACACGGACCCGACUCCUACGGGA